RNAcentral lists this ribosomal RNA (1480 nucleotides) under Amnibacterium sp. VN08A0400. RNAcentral describes it as "bacterial SSU rRNA". It matches the Rfam family "Bacterial small subunit ribosomal RNA". The record is from RNAcentral. Lineage: Bacteria; Bacillati; Actinomycetota; Actinomycetes; Micrococcales; Microbacteriaceae.
UCAGGACGAACGCUGGCGGCGUGCUUAACACAUGCAAGUCGAACGGUGAUGGAGAGCUUGCUCUUCGGAUCAGUGGCGAACGGGUGAGUAACACGUGAGUAACCUGCCCUGGACUCUGGGAUAAGCGUUGGAAACGACGUCUAAUACCGGAUAGGACUUCCUUCGGCAUCGGAGGGGGUGGAAAGAACUUCGGUUCGGGAUGGACUCGCGGCCUAUCAGCUUGUUGGUGAGGUAAUGGCUCACCAAGGCGACGACGGGUAGCCGGCCUGAGAGGGUGACCGGCCACACUGGGACUGAGACACGGCCCAGACUCCUACGGGAGGCAGCAGUGGGGAAUAUUGCACAAUGGGCGCAAGCCUGAUGCAGCAACGCCGCGUGAGGGAUGACGGCCUUCGGGUUGUAAACCUCUUUUGGCAGGGAAGAAGCGGAAGUGACGGUACCUGCAGAAAAAGCACCGGCUAACUACGUGCCAGCAGCCGCGGUAAUACGUAGGGUGCAAGCGUUGUCCGGAAUUAUUGGGCGUAAAGAGCUCGUAGGCGGUUUGUCGCGUCUGCUGUGAAAACGCGAGGCUCAACCUCGCGCCUGCAGUGGGUACGGGCAGACUGGAGUGCGGUAGGGGAGAUUGGAAUUCCUGGUGUAGCGGUGGAAUGCGCAGAUAUCAGGAGGAACACCGAUGGCGAAGGCAGAUCUCUGGGCCGUUACUGACGCUGAGGAGCGAAAGCGUGGGGAGCGAACAGGAUUAGAUACCCUGGUAGUCCACGCCGUAAACGUUGGGAACUAGAUGUGGGGUCCAUUCCACGGAUUCCGUGUCGCAGCUAACGCAUUAAGUUCCCCGCCUGGGGAGUACGGCCGCAAGGCUAAAACUCAAAGGAAUUGACGGGGGCCCGCACAAGCGGCGGAGCAUGCGGAUUAAUUCGAUGCAACGCGAAGAACCUUACCAAGGCUUGACAUGCACCUGAAACGGCUGGAAACAGUCGCCCCGCAAGGCAGGUGCACAGGUGGUGCAUGGUUGUCGUCAGCUCGUGUCGUGAGAUGUUGGGUUAAGUCCCGCAACGAGCGCAACCCUCGUUCUAUGUUGCCAGCGGGUCAUGCCGGGAACUCAUAGGAGACUGCCGGGGUCAACUCGGAGGAAGGUGGGGAUGACGUCAAAUCAUCAUGCCCCUUAUGUCUUGGGCUUCACGCAUGCUACAAUGGCCGGUACAAAGGGCUGCGAUACCGUAAGGUGGAGCGAAUCCCAAAAAGCCGGUCUCAGUUCGGAUUGAGGUCUGCAACUCGACCUCAUGAAGUCGGAGUCGCUAGUAAUCGCAGAUCAGCAACGCUGCGGUGAAUACGUUCCCGGGCCUUGUACACACCGCCCGUCAAGUCAUGAAAGUCGGUAACACCCGAAGCCGGUGGCCCAACCCUUGUGGAGGGAGCCGUCGAAGGUGGGAUCGGUGAUUAGGACUAAGUCGUAACAAGGUAGCCGUACCGGAAGGUGCGG